Brassica napus (rape) is the source of this 4182-nucleotide RNA transcript. It is a transcript of the gene named disease resistance protein RPP2A-like, with no coding region annotated. NCBI's taxonomy places the organism in Eukaryota, Viridiplantae, Streptophyta, Magnoliopsida, Brassicales, Brassicaceae. The record is from RefSeq and is a predicted model, not a curated record. The transcript is spliced from 8 exons.
CGAACCAAUUUAUAGGCUAAGGUUGGAUUCGAAUCCAUGAGACGACGUCUGUUGACUUUUGACUUUUGACUUUAGGGGUAUCCUCAAAGUUUAUCUUCUCCAUUUGCAAUUCUGCAUCUGCAUCUGCAUCUGAUAUAAUGGAAACUUUGAGGCUGUGAAGCAGCCGAUAGAUAGAUAGAUUAUUAGUUUGCUCGUUGCUGUCACAGCCUUAGAUUAUCAUUAGCACUGCUGGUGUAGUUGGAUCAACAAGAUGAACAAAUUGACGACCAUGUUUGGGUCUCUUGGGAGAAGGAGUUCGAGUGUAAGUACAAAUGCUUCGGGUGAUAGGAAGAACCCUUCCCAGGAAUUAGAUAAGGUGUUUCUUAUGACUCUGGAUCUACGUGAUGCUAAGACCACAAAUAAAGUCAUGGGCAAAGUUUAUAAGAUCCCAGGUGUCUCUUCUGUAGUCAUGGAGGAUGACUGCAGGAUUACAUUGACUGGGACAGCCGAUCCACAGAAGCUACUCAACAAGCUUAAAAUUUACCGGCCUAUGAUACGGAAGAUUACGGUAAGCAAGAAGGACGAUUCAUGCGAAGAAGAAGGUGUUCUCCUAAGCAAGAAGCACCAUUCAGGUGUAGAUGAUGAUACUGGCAGUGAGCAAUGGGAGAAAGGAUAUAAAAAGUUGGAUAUGGAUGGUGGGGGAGAAGCGUACAGUGAGUUGGAUAUGGAUGAUGGGGGAGAGGCCUCCAGUGGUACGAUGAGUAUCAUGAGUUCACCAGCGUGUAUAUGGGAAAAACCAGAUUACUCUGGUUCAAGGGACGACAUUCAAACCGCUGCAGACAAUACCACAACUAUGACUCCCAACAGCGAUGACUGGUACCCUUUCUGCGAUUUCCUCAGCAAUCGUAUGCCUCCGUUGACUCCCUUUGGGUGCAGCGCCGACGAUGUCAUUUAUUUUCUUCGCACGCGGCAGGUUUCAGGCGGCAUCGAGGCUCUUGCUAGCCGCCUCAGUGCUAAGACGGAUGCAUAUGUCCUAAAACCUGAGGACAAUCCUUUUCGCAGCGCGGCUGUAACAUCAUACCUAAAGGCUGCGAGGGAAAUGACUCGAGAAACAGAAUGCAUACUAGUAUUUUCGUGCAAUGACAACCAUGAUGUGGAUGAGACAUCUUUCAUCGAAGCCAUCUCAAAAGAGUUGAGCAAGCGAAAGGUCAUCCCUUUCGAAUAUAAUCUAUUGCGAAGAGAGAACCUGGAUGAGGGGUUGCUAGACAGAUCUAAUGUUGGUAUCAUGAUCAUUUCAAAUACUUAUGCUUCUUCUACACAGUCCCUGGAUCAUCUGGUGGCAAUCAUGAAGCGCAGGAAAGCAACAGGCCUUGUAAUUAUUCCUAUAUAUUUUAAGGUAACACUUUCAGACAUUUACGGGUCGAAAGGCAAGUUUGAAGCAGCAUUUCUGCAGCUUCAGAGUUCUCUCCAGAAAGACAGAGUUAAGAGAUGGAAAGCGGCUGUGUCUGAAAUCGUGUCCAUUGGUGGAAUUGAAUGGACAAAGGGAUUUCAGUUUAUACUUGCCGAGGAAGUUGUAAGAAAUGCAUCCCUAAGGCUAUAUUUGAAGAAUAGCAAGAAUAUGGUCGAAAUCUUAUCACUGUUAAAACAUUCCGAGUGUUUAGAUGUGGAAAUUUUUGGACUCUGGGGUAUGCCAGGAAUAGGCAAGACAUCUCUCGCUAGAGAAGUCUUUGAGAUACUGGUUCCGCAAUAUGACUUGUGUUACUUCCUGCAAGACUUUCAUCUGGAGUUUGAGAUGAAAGGGCUGUGGCAAUUGCGUGAUGAUUUCUUCUCUAAAAUAUUUGGAGAAGAAAAACUAAGUUUAGACGCUUCUGAUACAAAACUGAGUUUCAUGUGGGACCGGUUCCAUAAUAAAAGGAUCCUUGUUGUCCUCGAUGACGUCAGUAAUGCCAGAGAUGCAGAAGCUGUAGUUGGAGGGUUUGGCUGGUUUUCUAAGGGACACACAAUCAUUUUAACGUCUAGGAAAAAACAAGUUCUUGUACAGUGUAAAGCUAAAGAGCUAUACGAGAUCCAAAAUUUAUGCGAGUUUGAAUCUUUACGUCUCUGCAAACAGUAUUUAAAUGAAGAAAGUGAGGUCAUCUCAGAGCUUAUAAGCUGCAGUAGUGGUAUUCCCUUGGUUCUCAAAGCUUUAGUUUCCUCUGUAUCAAAGCGGCAUAUAAACAGUGUGAAGGAACAUCUCUGGUUCUUGCUAGAAAAUUCUCCUAGUCUGAUUGAAGAUGCAUUUGGGAGAAGCUUUGAUGGCCUAGAUGAAAACGAGAAGAACAUAUUUUUGGACAUUGCAUGUUUUUUCAGAGGGGUGGACAUGGAUCAUGUGGUGCCAAUACUUGAUGCUUGCGGGUUUUAUACAAACUUGGGAAUCUGUGAUCUUAUAGAUGAGUCUCUCAUUAGCCUUCGGGGCAAUAGGAUAGAGAUGCCUAUUCCUUUUCAAGAAUUUGGUCGAUUUCUUGUUCAUGAAGAAGAUGAGGAUCCAUGCGAGCGUAGCAGAUUGUGGGACCCUAGUGACAUCACUAAUGUAUUGACUAACAAUUCAGGAACGGACGCUAUUGAGGGCAUUUUCCUAGAUGCGUCUGACAUGACCUGUGAGUUGGGUCCGACUGUAUUUGAUAAGAUGUGUAAACUUCGAUUGCUGAAGUUCUAUUAUCCCACCUAUGGGAAUCACCAGUUCAUGCUAAGCUUACCUCAAGGCCUAUACUCUUUGCCUGAUGAGUUAAGGCUACUUCACUGGGAGGGUUACCCUCUGGAAAAUUUGCCGCAGAAAUUUAAUCCUGAGAACCUUGUACAGCUAAACAUGCCUUACAGCGACAUGGUGAAGUUAUGGGAAGGGAAGAAAAAUCUCGGGAAUCUGAAGAUAUUGAAACUUAGCCACUCCGAAAAGUUGACUGAUAUCCGGAUGUUAUCAGAAGCCUUGAACCUUGAAAAUAUUGAUCUCGAAGGAUGUACGAGUCUGGUUGACAUCAGCUCAUUUAUUCCUCGUUGUGGGAAGCUUGUUUCCUUGAAUAUGAAAGACUGUUCUCAUCUGCAAAGUUUGCCGGCAAUGGUUGGUUUAACAUCUCUCAAGCUUCUUAAUUUGUCUGGUUGCUUAGACCUUGAGGAGAUUCAGGAUUUUGCACCAAACUUAAGAGAGUUAUAUCUAGCUGGAACUGCCAUAAGAGAACUUCCAUUGUCAAUCGAGAAUCUCACAGAACUUGUUACACUCGAUCUGGAGAACUGCAAAAGGCUUCAACAACUGCCAGUUGGAGUAAGCAACUCGAAAUCCAUUCUCAAGCUGAAGCUGUCUGGCUGCGCAAGUCUUGGGCGUCUUCCAAAACUCAAGGCAGUAGAUUAUGGAACAUCUUAGUUUGUUGAAUAAAAUUAAAGUGUUGAAGUUUCUGCGGUUCUAUCACACACUUCAUUUGAGAGUUAAGGCCAGACUUCAUCCAAAAGCCUUCUGAAUUCUCUAGUUCACAGAGUAAAUCAGACCCAAGAGGUGCUUGAUCAACAACUGUGCUGAAGAACGUUUAACUACCCCUAAACGUCCAUCAAUUCACGGAGUCUGCAACCACUGAUCACGUACGCUUGGAUUUAUCACUGAAGCUGGUGUGUUUCAAGCUAGAAACAAUCAGCAAUAACCGUGCACGAUCUGUUUCGCAGUUCCUGUUCUACCAAGUAGUUCAUUACCAUGCCAAAUGGUGUAUGGGUUUUGGAAAAUAUCAACUCUGGCAAGUGGCAACCCGUUAGUGCUCAUGGAUCCACAUAUCAUAUCAUUACUCACUGCAUGAUAUGAUGAUCAAACUACUGGUAUUAAACUGGAAGUCCAUUCGGAACAUUGGUCACCGACCUGGUAUCAACAGUACGGUAUUAGAAUAUGCAUCAAAACCUUUUUGGUAAUAAUUAGGAUACCAAAUUAAAUAGGAAACAAAAUAGAGUUUGGAGUAAAAUCUUCUACAAUGUCAUUAUAUUUUUUACUCCAAAAUGGAGAUUUUGAAAGAAGAAAAAAUAGUGUAAUAUUACUGUUUCCAUACUGUGCUUUUGGAGACAGGAUUUUGUAUGCUCACACACACACACACACACAUAUAUAUAUGUAUGCCAUGUUUAACUACCACAAUUUUGUCAUUUUCCUUGUGGAAUACGAUGACAAACUACAUAUAUCUGGGAUUCACGUUCGCA